RNAcentral lists this long non-coding RNA (1969 nucleotides) under Octopus vulgaris (common octopus). Lineage: Eukaryota; Metazoa; Mollusca; Cephalopoda; Octopoda; Octopodidae. The record is from RNAcentral.
UCAUUAGUGCAGAUUCAGCCACAACCGUAUGACUAUGGUUGUUGUGCUUAAGCGUCAACUGUCUCUCACCCCAUCCCUUUCAAAGUAUAUAUUAAAAUAAUAUAUACAAUAUAUUUUCAAUGUAAUUCUACAUUGAAAGGAAAGCAUAAUGAUCAAAAUUUAUUUGAUUAUAUCUUUUCUUUAUCCUAAAAAAAAAAAAAAAAAAGUGUGAGAGGGAGAAUUGACGCAUCUUGUGUCUGGGUAUAAUUUUUGAGGUAAGUUCUUCACAUUUUUUAAUUAAUUAUCUUCAGUUAUUAUAUUGACAUUAGAAGGGCCACGAAGUUGAUAUAUAUAUAUAUAUAUAUAUAUAUAUAUAUAUAUAUAUAUAUAUAUAUAUAUAAUGGUGGGGUAUACAUGUGUGUGUGUAUAGCAAAUUUAUAUGUAAUAUAUACAUAUAUAUAUAUAUAUACACAUAAUUACUCGUAUAUAACGUAUACAUGUGUAUAUCAAUAUACAUAUAAUGGUGUAUAUGUAUUAUAUAUAUAUACAUACAUAGAUACAUUUAUAUGUAUGUGUGUGUGUGUGUGAAAAUAGCUCAGAACAUGAGUAUAUGUAUUCCGUAUUAAUAAUUACACAUACGCACAUGAGGGUACGUGUGUGAGAAAAUUGCAAUGUAAUUAAAUUCAGUCUUUGCAUUUAAGUAUUCUUUGUACACUUAUGAAAUUACGUUCUCGUUUACUGUGACCUUUAAUAAUUUAUGAAUUUUUUUUAUUAAUAUGUGCUCAUAUUUUAUUUUACAUCCUUGUUACUAUUCAUUCGUUUCUUUCGCCUUUUUUCCCCCAUUCUAAAACUGAUUAUCAAAAUCAGAUUAUAAAUAAAGAAAUGCUGAUUGUUAUAUACUAAUCUCACGUUUCUAGUUUCUAUUGCGGAAAUCAAAUAUUUUAACAUUCUUAGAAUUUUACUCAGAUACAUACACACACACACACACACUUCGUCGUUGAGAUCAUAACAAGCUUAUUUAAAACAUACCGCAAUAUCACAUAAACUUCCCUUUGUUUAGCCCCUGGCCUGCUCUGAUCGAGAUCUUUGAUUCAAAAACAAUGACUCAUGACCAUCCCAUUUUUUUUUAUUACUCAGAACCACAUUUUCCAAUGACUUCUCUCUAUUUUAAAAUGUUGGAAUGUGAUUUGAAGGAGACUCGACUGCAAUUUUUAGCAGUUCGAACGACCGCGUUAUGAUUCGAUCCCUCGUGUUUUUCAGCUAUGACCGAUCGUUCGAAACGGUAACUAUCAAAUGAUUGGUAACGAGCUAACUACUGUUAUAAAAGAUAAUUUAUGUUCAGCUUAUGGCAAUAAUUACUCAUUAAUUAGUCAAGGAAGCUGGCAAUUAGUGUUGAUAAAGUAAACGGCUCCUUUCUCCAGAAAAAGAAAUAUUUGCCUGCUAUUUCUAGCAGUCCCUUCUACCACUUAACAGCUAUUUGCGAUAAAGGACCCACCGAUAUUUGACUGAAAUAAUUUUGUGACCCCUUACCCGCUUUUGUUUCCGGAAAAAGUGGCUUGCGGCGAGUUUUGGAGGUCAGAUACUCGAUAAAAAAAAAACCGUGGAAAAAAAAAUAGGUGCCGAGGUACGAAUGGGUCCUUUACGAAAUAUUUACCUAAUUAUUUUGGUCAUUCAUGGAAUGAUUUGUAUCUGGCCUAAAUUCUGGCUUGAGUAGCAGAAAAGAAAAUCUUUCGCCGGAAAGAUCUGGUAUUAAAUUUUCAAGAUUAUAAAAUACACGAAUUUCGUGUUCAAACACAAGACGAAACACUUUGGAGCUGUAUCCAAUAAAGGAACAUUUGACUAGUAAAAAUCGAUUUAAUCCUUUUCCUAAUCCAGCAGUCUCUCAUAUUCUCUCUUUUUCAAAUGAAUCCAAUGCGUGGCUCAUAAUUCUCAUAAUUUAAUGUGAUUUUUUCCCCCCAAUUGAAACUUUUUGCUGACUUUUAACUUUGCC